RNAcentral lists this ribosomal RNA (443 nucleotides) under uncultured bacterium. RNAcentral's name for it is "partial 16S ribosomal RNA". It matches the Rfam family "Bacterial small subunit ribosomal RNA", at positions 338 to 795 of the family's 1533-position model. The record is from RNAcentral.
CCUACGGGAGGCAGCAGUGGGGAAUAUUGGGCAAUGGGCGCAAGCCUGACCCAGCAACGCCGCGUGAAGGAAGAAGGCUCUCGGGUUGUAAACUUCUUUUCUCAGGGACGAAGAAAGUGACGGUACCUGAGGAAUAAGCCACGGCCAACUACGUGCCAUCAGCCGCGGGAAUACGUAGGUGGCAAGCGUUAUCCGGAUUUAUUGGGUGUAAAGGGCGUGUAGGCGGGAGCGCAAGUCAGAUGGGAAAACUCAGGGCUCAACCCUGAGCCUGCAUUUGAAACUGUGUUUCUUGAGUGGUGGAGAGGUAGUCGGAAUUCCGGGUGUAGCGGUGAAAUGCGUAGAUAUACGGAGGAACACCAGUGGCGAAGGCGGAUUGCUGGACAGUAACUGACGCUGAGGCGCGAAAGCGUGGGGAGCAAACAGGAUUAGAUACCCUUGUAGUC